CCUACGGGUCGCAGCAGUGGGGAAUAUUGGACAAUGGGCGAAAGCCUGAUCCAGCCAUGCCGCGUGUGUGAAGAAGGUCUUCGGAUUGUAAAGCACUUUAAGUUGGGAGGAAGGGCAGUAAGUUAAUACCUUGCUGUUUUGACGUUACCGACAGAAUAAGCACCGGCUAACUUCGUGCCAGCAGCCGCGGUAAUACGAAGGGUGCAAGCGUUAAUCGGAAUUACUGGGCGUAAAGCGCGCGUAGGUGGUUUGGUAAGAUGGAUGUGAAAUCCCCGGGCUCAACCUGGGAACUGCAUCCAUAACUGCCUGACUAGAGUACGGUAGAGGGUGGUGGAAUUUCCUGUGUAGCGGUGAAAUGCGUAGAUAUAGGAAGGAACACCAGUGGCGAAGGCGACCACCUGGACUGAUACUGACACUGAGGUGCGAAAGCGUGGGGAGCA
This 440-nucleotide ribosomal RNA is filed under the name uncultured bacterium. RNAcentral describes it as "bacterial SSU rRNA". It matches the Rfam family "Bacterial small subunit ribosomal RNA", at positions 338 to 770 of the family's 1533-position model. The record is from RNAcentral.